UGAAAGUGAGUUGAUUAGAAGACAAUAGUUCUGUUCUGCAGCAACUUUGGGUGUUUCAUAUUUAGUUUUAUUCUGCACUGGAACAAAAUCAUAACCUUUCAAAAGUUUUAGUGAAAAUGGACGUGUGUCAAAAUACCUAUUUUCUGACCAAAACUAUAUGUGCAUAUCCCUAUCCAUCCUAGUUGUUAUUGCAGUGGCCUAGGUUGAGGAAGAACCAGGUUCAAGCCCCUUCUCUGCUUCAGAGUUUUUCAUCCCAGGUUACUGAAUAAGACAGAACAGAGACUCAAACCUUCAUCUCCUAUAUUGCAGUGACAGGGCAAUUCAGCUCUCAGGCAAUCCUGGAUCUAAAACAUCUGGCAUAACUGAAGUUUUUUUAAAUGCAAAGUGGGCCUGAUCUCUGGCAUCAGCACACAGCAGGAUUAUCCAGUUACACUGACUCUCUCCUCAGCACCUACGCUACCAACACUGCUAGCUAUCUUCAAGACACCACUGACUUUCUGACAAAACUACAGAACAUCAGUAAUCU
This is a non-coding RNA of Pelodiscus sinensis (Chinese soft-shelled turtle), 526 nucleotides long. Lineage: Eukaryota; Metazoa; Chordata; Testudines; Trionychidae. The record is from RefSeq and is a predicted model, not a curated record.